Molecule: ribosomal RNA, 461 nt
Filed under: uncultured organism
Description: bacterial SSU rRNA
Rfam family: Bacterial small subunit ribosomal RNA
Source: RNAcentral
GACGAACGCUGGCGGCGUGCCUAACACAUGCAAGUCGAACGGAGUCAAUCCUUCGGGGUUGACUUAGUGGCGGACGGGUGAGUAACGCGUGAGGAACCUGCCUUGGAGUGGGGGAUAACACAGGGAAACUUGUGCUAAUACCGCAUAAUGCAAAGAGAUGGCAUCAUUUUUUUGCCAAAGAUUUAUUGCUCUGAGAUGGCCUCGCGUCUGAUUAGAUAGUUGGUGAGGUAACGGCCCACCAAGUCUGCGAUCAGUAGCCGGACUGAGAGGUUGAACGGCCACAUUGGGACUGAGACACGGCCCAGACUCCUACGGGAGGCAGCAGUGGGGAAUAUUGCGCAAUGGGGGAAACCCUGACGCAGCAACGCCGCGUGAAGGAUGAAGGUUUUCGGAUUGUAAACUUCUUUGACACAGGACGAAUAAUGACGGUACUGUGAAAACAAGCCACGGCUAACUACGUG